AGGGUUUGAUCAUGGCUCAGGACGAACGCUGGCGGUGCGCCUUAUGCAUGCAAGUCGAGCGAAGCUUUUCAGUAGUUUACUACAGAAAAUGACUGAGCGGCGAACGGGUGAGUAACGCGUGAGCAAUCUACCUUAGUUACAGGGAUAGCCCGAGGAAACUCGGAUUAAUACCUGAUAUUCUUUAUUUCUCGCAUGAGAAUAAAAGGAAAGGUCAGCCGAACUAAGAUGAGCUCGCGUUCUAUCAGCUUGUUGGUGAGGUAAAAGCUUACCAAGGCUACGACGGAUAGCUGGUCUGAGAGGACGAUCAGCCACACUGGGACUGAGACACGGCCCAGACUCCUACGGGAGGCUGCAGCAGGGAAUAUUGUGCAAUGAACGAAAGUUUGACACAGCGACACCGCGUGUGGGAUGACGGAUCUAGGUUUGUAAACCACUUUCAGGAGGGAAGAAAAUGACGGUACCUCCACAAGAAGCCCCGGCCAACUACGUGCCAGCCGCCGCGGUAAUAC
Molecule: ribosomal RNA, 509 nt
Filed under: uncultured bacterium
Lineage: Bacteria
Description: bacterial SSU rRNA
Rfam family: Bacterial small subunit ribosomal RNA
Source: RNAcentral